UACAGAGGUCUCAAGCGUUGUUCGGAUUCAUUGGGCGUAAAGGGUGCGUAGGCGGCGCGGUAAGUCGGGUGUGAAAUCUCGGAGCUUAACUCCGAAACUGCAUUCGAUACUGAUCGACUCGAAGGCAGGAGAGGGUAGUGGAAUUCCCGGUGUAGUGGUGAAAUGCGUAGAUAUCGGGAGGAACACCAGUGGCGAAGGCGACUACCUGGCCUGUUCUUGACGCUGAGGCGCGAAAGCUAGGGGAGCAAACGGG
RNAcentral lists this ribosomal RNA (253 nucleotides) under uncultured bacterium. Its description in RNAcentral is "partial 16S ribosomal RNA". It matches the Rfam family "Bacterial small subunit ribosomal RNA", at positions 524 to 776 of the family's 1533-position model. The record is from RNAcentral.